UUUAUUCACCCGCUUCGGCUGUUAUCAGUCCAUACAAUGGGCGUUAUUAGCACAAACCAGUCCCAUAGAUAUGGGCCAUCUCCUGCUAGAUUGUUCAGAAGGUUGUUCUCAUCCAUCCAGAUGGAGGAUCACUAACAGGAGCGUGGAAGACUCCAGAAUCCACUCUGGCUGGAAUCCGGUGGAUAUGCAGUGUGUACAGAACAGUUCUCCACAGUCGCUGUCCACAUGGGUCAGUGGGACCAAGAAGCACUCUGCUAAUGUGUGGACUCUGACCAGCAACAUCCAGCAAGACCCAGACAGCGUUUUCUAUCUCCCAGCUGGAGUUUUUGUUUGUCUGUGACUGGAGAGUCAGAUUUUUGUUGAGCUUCACACUUGCAGAGGUAAGUCAGUUUGCAGAGAUCCCUCCCACCCUGGCUUUUAUGUGCUAGAUUUCUUAUCUGAAACAGUAAUAUUUCAGUGACUGCUGCUUCUACCACAGGUUAAUACACUCUACUGAUCCCUGAUGGGAGAAUCAUCAAUUUUGGCAACAAAGAAGCCUGGUGGAUGUUUGUUUACAGUCUGAUGAUGGGACAUCAUGCUCUGCAUCUUCAAAGUUUGCCUCCUCAUUAUUAUUCAUACCCAGUAAUGUGAAGUAUGCUCAUAUCUACUAUAACUGAACCAACCUGGUGCUCUUCAUUUAUGGAGGCUGUUGAGUCUGAAUGUUGGAUGUUGUGUAUCUCGUGUUCUCUGGGCUUUGUUGUCCUCAGUCUUUUCACAGGAUCAGAAAACAAAACCAGGAGGCGCGUACAUGUUUCUUCUCCAUGAUGUUUCUUCAAAUGUUUCUUCUGGAUGAUGAUAAGACUGACACGGGAUGCCACCUUUGGUCUUGUGAUGAAGCAAAGCUCAGGAAGAAGUGGGAUUAAAUGGUACCCACAUGUGUGCUGCUGAGAAGGAUGUACAGGGGCACCUGCAGCCAAAUCCAAGCCUCAGAGCAGAGCAGCAGUUUGUGCUCACAGAUGGUGACGGUGUGGAGAGACGGUGGUGUUUCCUCAGAAGAACCAGCAGAGUCACAAAGGACACCAGUCCAUCUCACCACCUUGACUUGCUGACUGAUGCUCGUCUGCACUGCACAGAGGAAAUCAGCUGACCGAGGAGUGUUUCUGAGUGAGGGGGGAGGAGUCAUCAUCCAGGUAAAGUGACGUAGAUCCGUGGACACACUUGUCUCCCCUUUAAAGGAGACGAUCCAAGUCAUCCUUAAAUAUGGGCAGCAUAUCAGUCUUGGACUGUCUAACCUGCAGCACUGAAUGACCACCACACAUGAGCAUGUUCCUGCAACAUUCAGCAUCUGAUCCUUCAUCUGUGUGCUUCUGCUUUUGUGUCACAUGUCAAACAGCUGGAGAGGAAACUACACCAGUGUACUGGGAUGUUUCAGCAACACGUGCCAGAUGCUGUUCCUUCAUGGUGACAUCACCAGAGACAGUCCCGCCCACCUCAGGACCUCGCCAUUGAUCAUGAUGAUUAUAAUGAUGACAGCGAGCGGAACUAAGACUGUAAAAAUCCACGACCAGAAUGUUUCUUUCUAAUUAUUAAUGAAUACUGAGAGCCUCUUUCUCUGUUUUGUCUGUUUUGGGGUUGUUUUUUUUACCUCAUUUGUUUCUAACAAAGUUCACAAACUCACACAGUUUACAUUCUGUAUGUUUCCAUCUUUACCAGCCACACUCUAACUGCAUUUAAGAAAAUAAUCCUUAGAAAUCGUCGUUUUUCUCUUUUGUAAUUGAUGAUAAUUCAGUGAAUAUACUGCGCUGCUUCCUUUUAUUGCGUCACACAUUGCUUUAAGUUUUUCAGUGUCCAGUUAUUUUUUACUGCUGUUUGAAUUCUCUGAAUGUUUGACCCUGUAGACUGUUUGAUGGACUGCUUGUCUUCCUGUUUGUUACCGCCGCCUGUUUUUUAAUAAAGAUUUGGAUUUCUGACUUCAAC
Molecule: long non-coding RNA, 1956 nt
Organism: Astatotilapia calliptera (eastern happy)
Lineage: Eukaryota; Metazoa; Chordata; Actinopteri; Cichliformes; Cichlidae
Source: Ensembl